CCCUCUCUCUCUCUCCUUCUUCUUCUUUCUUUUACUCCAUUAAUGACCAAAUCUUACACACACUCUUUCCUUCAUUAAACUUCAUAUUUUCUCUUAAAAAUCAAGUAUAUUAGAGGAUAAAUGACCUCAUAAGCUUUGAUUCAGAGUCUAUUUCUCAAGAUUCAAGCUUAAAAGUUACUGAUUUGGGAUAGACGAUCCACAGCGAGCAUCAGACUAUUUAGAGGCUCCUAUUCCAUUACAAAGCAUUUUGUAUGGGACGAGGCUAGUACAGCAAUGCUUAAAGUGGCUUGGGAGAAGCUGUGCGCUAAUCGAUAAUCUAACUUCACGUAUAGGAUGCAAAAGAGCGGAAAGAAGCAACAAUGCAUAUCUUAGGAGAUAUGGGAGAGAUGGCAGAAAGCUUGAGAAGAUCCUGCAUUUAAGAGAAAGUGUGAGAUCUACGUAUGGAAUAGACACAGUGAGAUUGGAGGUGACGGAACAGGUAUGUUUAAACACACUGGUGGAUCCAUAUCUGCUAUAGAGACAUGUAAGAUACUGGUGAGACAGAAGCACUUAU
Non-coding RNA from Jatropha curcas, 553 nucleotides. Lineage: Eukaryota; Viridiplantae; Streptophyta; Magnoliopsida; Malpighiales; Euphorbiaceae. The record is from RefSeq and is a predicted model, not a curated record.